Molecule: transfer RNA, 62 nt
Filed under: Haementeria officinalis (Mexican leech)
Lineage: Eukaryota; Metazoa; Annelida; Clitellata; Rhynchobdellida; Glossiphoniidae
Description: transfer RNA Glycine
Source: RNAcentral
AUGAUAUUAGUAUAAAAAGUACAAUUACCUUCCAAGUAAAUAGUUUAAAUCUAAGUAUCAUA